Non-coding RNA from Pteropus alecto (black flying fox), 119 nucleotides. NCBI's taxonomy places the organism in Eukaryota, Metazoa, Chordata, Mammalia, Chiroptera, Pteropodidae. The record is from Rfam.
GUCUACAGCCAUGCUCCCCUGAACAAGCCUGAUCCCGACGGAUCUCGGAAGCUAAGCAGGGUCAGGCCUAAUUAGGACUUGGACUGGAGACCAUCUAGCCCGAGCAGGUGCUGUAGGUG